GCUGGGUAUGGUGGCAUAUGCCUGUAGUCCCAGCUACUUGAGGGACUGAGGCAGAAAGAUUGCUUGAACCCAGGAGUUCCUGAGUUGUAGUGUACUAUGCUGGUGAAUGUUUGCACUAAGUUUAGCAUCAAUAUGAUGACCUCCCAGGAGUGGGGGAGCUACCAGGUUGCCUAAAGAAUGAUAAACUGGACAGGUCAUAAACAAAGCAGGUCAAAACCAAUUUGACCAUGCUGUAUAUAGGCAUGAUUCCACUAUUGAUCAGUCUUUGCUGAUCAGUAGUGGGAUCGUGACUACGAAUAGCCACUGCACUCCAGUCUGGGCAACAUAGCACAACUCCAUCUCU
This is an unclassified non-coding RNA of Aotus nancymaae (Ma's night monkey), 343 nucleotides long. It matches the Rfam family "Metazoan signal recognition particle RNA". From Rfam's summary of the family: The signal recognition particle (SRP) is a universally conserved ribonucleoprotein. It is involved in the co-translational targeting of proteins to membranes. NCBI's taxonomy places the organism in Eukaryota, Metazoa, Chordata, Mammalia, Primates, Aotidae. The record is from Ensembl.